This 845-nucleotide ribosomal RNA is filed under the name Salinivibrio sp. Its description in RNAcentral is "bacterial SSU rRNA". It matches the Rfam family "Bacterial small subunit ribosomal RNA", at positions 61 to 870 of the family's 1533-position model. Lineage: Bacteria; Pseudomonadati; Pseudomonadota; Gammaproteobacteria; Vibrionales; Vibrionaceae. The record is from RNAcentral.
GUCGAGCGGAACGGCAGUAUUGAAGCUUCGGUGGAUUUACUGGACGUCGAGCGGCGGACGGGUGAGUAACGGCUGGGAACCUGCCCUGACGAGGGGGAUAACCGUUGGAAACGACGGCUAAUACCGCAUAAUGUCUUGAUUCGUUAGAGUCAGGACCAAAGGUGGCCUCUACAUGUAAGCUAUCGCGUUGGGAUGGGCCCAGUUAGGAUUAGCUAGUUGGUAAGGUAAUGGCUUACCAAGGCAACGAUCCUUAGCUGGUUUGAGAGGAUGAUCAGCCACACUGGGACUGAGACACGGCCCAGACUCCUACGGGAGGCAGCAGUGGGGAAUAUUGCACAAUGGGGGAGACCCUGAUGCAGCCAUGCCGCGUGUGUGAAGAAGGCCUUCGGGUUGUAAAGCACUUUCAGCAGUGAGGAAGGUCGUGUACUUAAUACGUGCACGGCUUGACGUUAGCUGCAGAAGAAGCACCGGCUAACUCCGUGCCAGCAGCCGCGGUAAUACGGAGGGUGCGAGCGUUAAUCGGAAUUACUGGGCGUAAAGCGCAUGCAGGCGGUUUGUUAAGUCAGAUGUGAAAGCCCGGGGCUCAACCUCGGAACCGCAUUUGAAACUGGCAGGCUAGAGUCUUGUAGAGGGGGGUAGAAUUUCAGGUGUAGCGGUGAAAUGCGUAGAGAUCUGAAGGAAUACCAGUGGCGAAGGCGGCCCCCUGGACAAAGACUGACGCUCAGAUGCGAAAGCGUGGGUAGCAAACAGGAUUAGAUACCCUGGUAGUCCACGCCGUAAACGCUGUCUACUUGGAGGUUGAGGUUUUAGACUUUGGCUUUCGGCGCUAACGCAUUAAGUAGACC